GGGACAGGGCUGCUGGUGGAGGCUGUACACCUGAGCAGACCCUGGCCUCCCAGGCUGGGUGCUCUGGGGAGAAGAGCGAAGACCAUGUGGCAGCACCAGGACCCGACCUCAUUAACGUGAGGUGGGGUGAAGGGACGCCUUUGGUGAAGGCAGUAGUAUUCACCUCCGUGGACUCCUCCUCAGUUUCUGGUCUGCACUGUUCCUCCUUGCCCUGAGUUGGAAACCUGGGGGUUCAGCCAGUGCUUGAGGUCCUGCCUUCUCAUUGGAUGGCAGAGCAGACCUGCAUUGAGAGAGACGCUAAAGUUCUUCAGGCUGAAGGGAAAGAAAUCCAAAUGAAAGAACAGAGUCGCUGGAUGGAUAAAGAGAAAUGUGUGAUUAGAGAAAACCUAGUUGAGAGUUGUACGCCCCAGGACAUGGAAGCCAACAUCGGAAUGCAGUCCAACCUCCUUUCCUGAGAACUGCCUAUCAUUAUGAAAAGAUUAACAACCUUGUUGCUGAAACAAUCUAGUCCCAGAGGCGCCAGCCAUUGCCCGCCCUUUUCGACCCCCAGCCCCUAUUGCUUGUAAUCUGGUCCCAGAGGCACCUGGAGGCACCUGCUCUCCGUGACCUCCUCCACCGCCCCUCCCCCC
Molecule: long non-coding RNA, 629 nt
Organism: Eptesicus fuscus (big brown bat)
Lineage: Eukaryota; Metazoa; Chordata; Mammalia; Chiroptera; Vespertilionidae
Exons: 4
Source: RefSeq, a predicted model, not a curated record